Molecule: ribosomal RNA, 391 nt
Filed under: uncultured bacterium
Lineage: Bacteria
Description: bacterial SSU rRNA
Rfam family: Bacterial small subunit ribosomal RNA
Source: RNAcentral
GACAAACGCUGGCGGCGUGCUUAACACAUGCAAGUCGAGCGGUAAGGCCCUUUCGGGGGUACACGAGCGGCGAACGGGUGAGUAACACGUGGGUGACCUGCCCUCAGCUCUGGGAUAAGCCUGGGAAACCGGGUCUAAUACCGGAUAUGACUCCAUGACGCAUGUUGUGGGGUGGAAAGCCUUGUGCGGCUGAGGAUGGGCCCGCGGCCUAUCAGCUUGUUGGUGGGGUGAUGGCCUACCAAGGCGACGACGGGUAGCCGGCCCUGAGAGGGCGACCGGCCACACUGGGACUGAGACACGGCCCAGACUCCUACGGGAGGCAGCAGUGGGGAAUCUUGCGCAAUGGGCGAAAGCCUGACGCAGCGACGCCGCGUGAGGGAUGACGGCCUGG